CCACCACGUGACCAGGCCGGCUCUCCCCCAUCACGUGACCAGGCCGUCCCUUCUCCCCCCGCCCCUUCCCCCACCACGUGACGAGGCUCGCUUUCCCCCACCACGUGACCAGGUCGUCCUUCCCCCCCUCCCCACCACGUGACCAGGGCGCCCCGCCUCGUUCUCGCCCGGCGGUGCUAGGACGGACAGUGAUGGUGCUUGUUAGGCGCUUACUACGUGCCCAGCACUCCGUGGUGACCCCCUGGCAGCCCGCGCUUCUUUUCCUUUCUUUAAGGUUUAUUUCAAACAACUCUGUCGCAAGGGUCAGAAGAGCUUUAACCCCUAUCGAGUGGAAGCCAUCCAGUGCCAACCCUAGAAAGUUCCCUCGCCUCUAAUGGGAUGCUUCAAGUCCAUUUUCCUUUGCUCCAUUCUGAGGGGAACGAUGAAGCUCGGUGUGUGGAAGCCUUUUGCUUAGAUAAAAGUAAAGGCCUCCCUCACCAAGUCUGUUUUUUCCACCUCUUUCUGGUAAGCUUAUUCCAUUUUCAGUACACCAUUUUUGGCUACACGAUAUGCAAAUGAAACAACCAAAGUUUUUUUCCAUGGGGACUCAAAGUCAGGGCAGCCGUUAAUUGGGUUUUAGACUGUGGUGACAAUCGGGUCUUCAGCUGGUCUGUCCCUCACCUGGUACAGAUUAGGGCCCCAAUUUCCUUACUGUCCGAGGUCUCCGUUUCCAGCUUUCCUCCCCUGUGGCUCCCGUCGCUGACUCCCACAGCUUGGAAGCAGCGCCCGUGUUCCCGGGGGCCUGGGAGGGGAACGCAGACGGGGUUGGGGUGAGAUGAGAAGUCGCCCUGGCGAGAAGCUUCGGGUCAGUGGAUUUCCACAGAGAACCUUACGGUGUGGGUCUU
This 884-nucleotide long non-coding RNA is filed under the name Ornithorhynchus anatinus (platypus). Its description in RNAcentral is "lncRNA (ENSOANG00000042387.1)". Lineage: Eukaryota; Metazoa; Chordata; Mammalia; Monotremata; Ornithorhynchidae. The record is from RNAcentral.